This 240-nucleotide unclassified non-coding RNA is filed under the name soil metagenome. RNAcentral's name for it is "partial contains 5.8S ribosomal RNA, internal transcribed spacer 2, and large subunit ribosomal RNA". The record is from RNAcentral.
AACCAUUCUCACCUGCGGCUAGACCUGCGGAGGGAUCAUUAAUGAAUUGUUCGAAUAAUCUAUGCGGACAAAUUCUUUAAAUCCGUAUCCACACCGGCCGGGGGGGGUUCAAAUGAUGGACCUUUUCGGCCGUAGGGGGUUCUUGAAACUUUCUGGGCCUGGAAUUUUUUCUGGGCCGAGAGAGAGGAGAGGACUCCUGUCUGACCUUUGCCUAAAAUUGAUCUUUUUGACUGAAACUUU